CUGUGUGUCUAUGGUGGAGAAAGAAACUGCAACUUUUCCAGGAUCAAACAUUCCUGUAAAACUUCCAAUUCCCCGAUUGGAGCCUGUUCUGAAACCAACACAGGGAAACAGAAGAAGACCCAGGAAGAAAUCCAAGUUGAAAAGAAAGAAUUAGAUCGAGUCCGGAAAAAAACCAGGGUGGAGGGAGCGAGCUAUUUCUGCAGAGUUAGCCAUUUCUGCUUAACUAAUCAGAAACUGUCCCAGACACACAGGAAUAUGGAGGAAUCAUCUUUCAACAAUAAUGUAUUUACCUGUGCAAAUAAAUAACAGAUUUAUUUCACCCAUAUGUCAAAUAAACCAUAUAUUUAAUAA
Austrofundulus limnaeus is the source of this 351-nucleotide long non-coding RNA. RefSeq lists it as uncharacterized. The record is from RefSeq and is a predicted model, not a curated record. The transcript has 2 exons. NCBI's taxonomy places the organism in Eukaryota, Metazoa, Chordata, Actinopteri, Cyprinodontiformes, Rivulidae.